RNAcentral lists this unclassified non-coding RNA (194 nucleotides) under uncultured fungus. RNAcentral's name for it is "sequence contains ITS1". The record is from RNAcentral. Lineage: Eukaryota; Fungi.
UUAAUUUUAUUUUGUAAAAGCUCAGACAGCUAUAGUUACAGAGAGUUUACAUCCCUCUGGCAGGCACCGUGACCGGCCACAGACCUCUCCCAGAGAUCGCCUGCCAAAGGAACAAUGAACUUUUGAUACAUUCACAAAGGGUUUAGGAGUUGUUUAACUCUAUAAUGAUCCCUCCGCAGGUUCACCUACGGAGA